AUUGAACGCUGGCGGCAUGCCUUACACAUGCAAGUCGAACGGUAACGGGUCCUUCGGGAUGCCGACGAGUGGCGAACGGGUGAGUAAUAUAUCGGAACGUGCCCAGUAGUGGGGGAUAACUGCUCGAAAGAGCAGCUAAUACCGCAUACGACCUGAGGGUGAAAGGGGGGGAUCGCAAGACCUCUCGCUAUUGGAGCGGCCGAUAUCAGAUUAGCUAGUUGGGGGGGUAAAGGCCUACCAAGGCAACGAUCUGUAGUUGGUCUGAGAGGACGACCAGCCACACUGGGACUGGGACACGGCCCAGACUCCUACGGGAGGCAGCAGUGGGGAAUUUUGGACAAUGGGCGCAAGCCUGAUUCAGCAAUGCCGCGUGCAGGAAGAAGGCCUUCGGGUUGUAAACUGCUUUUGUCAGGGAAGAAAUCUUCUGGGCUAAUACCCCGGGAGGAUGACGGUACCUGAAGAAUAAGCACCGGCUAACUACGUGCCAGCCGCCGCGGUAA
Molecule: ribosomal RNA, 500 nt
Filed under: uncultured bacterium
Lineage: Bacteria
Description: partial 16S ribosomal RNA
Rfam family: Bacterial small subunit ribosomal RNA
Source: RNAcentral